AUGCAAUUCAAGAAUAGAUGGGAAAAUCUCAAAACUAUGUAUUGUCAAUGGAAACAAUUGCAAAUUGACGCAUCUGGACUUGGAUGGAAUGCUAAGCUAGGAACCAUUGAUGCUGAUACUGAUUGGUGGAACACUCACCUAAUGAAACACCCAGAGCAUGCAAAGUAUAGGAAUGCAGGACCACCCAACUUGGCUGAAAUGGACCUCAUGUUUGAUGACCGUCAUGUCACCGGUGCCGAGUCCGCUAUCCCCGGUGAGAUACCAUUGGACAAGGAGGAAGUCACUAUUGACGAUGACUCUGAUAGUGCAGAGGAUGAUGAUGAAGUCAUCAAAGCAAAACCAAAGAAGCAGCGCAAGACCAAGUCCUGUAAAGAUGAUUUUUCUGCUCUAGAUGAGAAGAACCCAUUUGUUCGGAUGUACAAGAAGGCUAGUGAUGCGAUAUGUGUAACGGCUGAAAGUAUAAAAGAAGCAUCUAGCUCCAGCAAGGCUCAUCCUCCCCCUUCUCCUCCGGUUGCUCCUGCCCCUCCUCCUCCGGUUGGCCCUAGUAUGAAUGAGGCAAUGGAGAUGGUUCGUGACUGUGGAGUUGAGGAAGGAACUCCUCUCUUUUUCUCUUCCAGCAUGCUUUUUAUGAAGCCUGAGUAUAGAGAAAUGUUUGCGUCGGUUCAGACCAAGGAAGGAAGGUUUGAUUGGCUCGAGAGAGCGCAUGAUUAUGCUAUGUAA
This 720-nucleotide ribosomal RNA is filed under the name Triticum aestivum (bread wheat). Its description in RNAcentral is "partial small subunit ribosomal RNA". The record is from RNAcentral. Lineage: Eukaryota; Viridiplantae; Streptophyta; Magnoliopsida; Poales; Poaceae.